AUAUACUGACUUACACGCGAUCACGCAUUACUUGAUUGGCUGCUUCACUUUGCCCAUGAGGGGUACACGCUCCACUUUACCUCUCCUGAUUGGUUUCACACCUUCGCUUCAGCUUAGCGUUACAUCAUGCUUCUGGCAUCUUGUUAUUGCAUUCCUGUUUUGCUGAUCUUGACGCUUCUUCUUUUAGCCUGGGGUCAGAGGUUCACUUUCUCACAGCUUGCUGUAGGCCUGUUCAAGCACCCAUGCUCGACCCCCAACAGUCUUCUAAUCUUAUCUCAUUUGCUCUCCACUCCUACUCUUACGUUGCCAGUUCAUCAAUUUGCUUCUUGCGCAGGUGGAAUAUUUUGAUGGACUACUGUUACACCACACCACCUGAUAAUCCUAACAAUGAUAUUCAAUAUGAUCUUUUUUCAGCUGAAUCACUUCCUUAGGAAACAACGAAUUGUUCGCGCUGGGAUGGCAUUGUGAGAACCGAGAUUGGAGUCAAGCAAAUCUCCAUCCUGCAAUGUGCAGAGAAGAGGCCAGAGUACCGGGACACCCCAGUGACUGCAGAAGGGGAAGAAUGCUGCAAAACUCUUGACUCCAUGUAGAGCUCAAAAUGAGGACGUGAAGAAGAAAGAAGGAAAAAACGAUAGAAGUGGAUCUGCAGUACCCUUGUCAUGCCCUGAGACGCAGGUGCUGCUGCUGUUCCCCCUGUUUACAGGGUAACUGCUUUGGCUCUUGGGACUGCUCCUUAAGACAUUUUCAUUCUCUACCUUUAUCUCUUCUUUCCCUCAGGGUCGUCAUUUCAGGUGGGAAACGCCUGUCCCUCAGGAAAAGAAGGCGAACUACUCCCUCUAUAGGCUUUCCCCUUUGUUGCUUUCAUGAACCGGACAUCCAGGGGAUCAGAGCUGCAUGCAAACUUAGAAGGCUGGCAAGAACUCUGAAGGCCCUGCUGCCACAAUUGCACCAGCACUGCAGUUUAUGGCAUCAUUCCACACCAACAACAGUUGCAGAGCAGCAGGAGUGUGAAGAAUCAGCCAGAGGCAGGGCAGGGAUGGGAGGCAGAUGUUUGCAAGCUGGCCUUGCAAAUGAAGCCCCCUUUUGAAAAUGUGCAGCUGCCAGUGUACCUUUGCUCUGGUACAGGUCAGAGGGAAUUCUCCUGCAGUGUCUGAAGUAACACAUUAGGGAAGAACUGACACAUGGGUGAGUUAUAUAUUAACCACUAGAGAUGACCUUUCAGAGAGUGACAGAGUAACAAUCUCGCUGAUAAAGGAAAUAGCAACUUUUUCAUUUUGCAGAGCAUGGGUAUUCUUCCCAGUAAAAGACUGCACAGCUCUUCCCACUAAAUGAUACCAUUUUCAGUUCUUCCAUACUUUCUGAAAUGGAAUAAAUUGUUCAGAUGUUUUCAGUGCUAAAUAAAUGCCUCUUUCUGUUUCUUGUGGGGAGCUGAAGGUCGAAGGCAGGAAAUGUUUUAGCUAAAAUGAUGCAGCCAUUUCCAAGGAAGUGUCAGAAGAGCAACAUACAAGUUUGCUUGGGUUACAGAAGUAAUCUUAGCAGCCAUUCAGCACUGUGCUCACUUUUCCUUCCCAAGGCCUGGCCUUGUUCUGUGUUCAGCAUUACCAGAGAUCUGCUGCAAUGAAGUUUAUGUACUUAUGUCACUUAGGACACAGAUGAAUUGCUUUAACUUAUGCUUAAAAGCAAAAACCAGCCAGAGAUGACAAAUCUGAGUACUGUAUUUCACCAGUUAAAUGACUAAUGUUUUAGUUGUUUUUGAAGCUUCUGGUGAAAGCUGAAGCAUAAUGGUGAAAGAAAAAAUAAUAUAAGUUACAUAACACCACACAUAUGGAAUUGAUAAUGCUCUGGUUUUAUAAGGAAUAAAUUGUUCUUCCG
Molecule: long non-coding RNA, 1872 nt
Filed under: Melopsittacus undulatus (budgerigar)
Lineage: Eukaryota; Metazoa; Chordata; Aves; Psittaciformes; Psittaculidae
Description: lncRNA (ENSMUNG00000021984.1)
Source: RNAcentral